AUGCAAGUCGAGCGAAUCGAUGGGAGCUUGCUCCCUGAGAUUAGCGGCGGACGGGUGAGUAACACGUGGGCAACCUGCCUAUAAGACUGGGAUAACUUCGGGAAACCGGAGCUAAUACCGGAUACGUUCUUUUCUCGCAUGAGAGAAGAUGGAAAGACGGUUUACGCUGUCACUUAUAGAUGGGCCCGCGGCGCAUUAGCUAGUUGGUGAGGUAAUGGCUCACCAAGGCGACGAUGCGUAGCCGACCUGAGAGGGUGAUCGGCCACACUGGGACUGAGACACGGCCCAGACUCCUACGGGAGGCAGCAGUAGGGAAUCUUCCGCAAUGGACGAAAGUCUGACGGAGCAACGCCGCGUGAACGAAGAAGGCCUUCGGGUCGUAAAGUUCUGUUGUUAGGGAAGAACAAGUACCAGAGUAACUGCUGGUACCUUGACGGUACCUAACCAGAAAGCCACGGCUAACUACGUGCCAGCAGCCGCGGUAAUACGUAGGUGGCAAGCGUUGUCCGGAAUUAUUGGGCGUAAAGCGCGCGCAGGUGGUUCCUUAAGUCUGAUGUGAAAGCCCACGGCUCAACCGUGGAGGGUCAUUGGAAACUGGGGAACUUGAGUGCAGAAGAGGAAAGUGGAAUUCCAAGUGUAGCGGUGAAAUGCGUAGAGAUUUGGAGGAACACCAGUGGCGAAGGCGACUUUCUGGUCUGUAACUGACACUGAGGCGCGAAAGCGUGGGGGAGCAAACAGGAUUAGAUACCCUGGUAGUCCACGCCGUAAACGAUGAGUGCUAAGUGUUAGAGGGUUUCCGCCCUUUAGUGCUGCAGCUAACGCAUUAAGCACUCCGCCUGGGGGAGGUACGGCCGCAAGGCUGAACUCAAAGGAAAUUGA
This 879-nucleotide ribosomal RNA is filed under the name Peribacillus simplex. Its description in RNAcentral is "bacterial SSU rRNA". It matches the Rfam family "Bacterial small subunit ribosomal RNA", at positions 55 to 913 of the family's 1533-position model. Lineage: Bacteria; Bacillati; Bacillota; Bacilli; Caryophanales; Bacillaceae. The record is from RNAcentral.